Caenorhabditis elegans is the source of this 208-nucleotide non-coding RNA. Lineage: Eukaryota; Metazoa; Nematoda; Chromadorea; Rhabditida; Rhabditidae. The record is from Ensembl.
UCUCAGGCGCCCUCCCGUGAAGAAGCUCCAGUCAUUUCAUGUGUCCAUUGUUCUUAGGCGCUGACGCUGGUGCUGUUAGUCUGCGCAACAAGAAGAAUGUGUUGGGUGGUAGUUGGCCACACGCACACAAUUUGGGGAGAGGACAGCCGGGGGCAGACUCCCGAAUCGAUAAUUUUCUCAAGGGCAUCAACGGACACCCCCCAACGCU